GAGGACCUUUACCUAGUAUGAGAGGACCGAGAAGGACACACCUCUGGUGUACCAGUUAUCGUGCCCACGGUAAAUACUGGGUAGCCAAGUGCGGAGCGGAUAACUGCUGAAUCAACCAAAACCUGCAACAGAGUCCUUAAUU
RNAcentral lists this non-coding RNA (142 nucleotides) under Nicotiana sylvestris (wood tobacco). RNAcentral's name for it is "Bacterial large subunit ribosomal RNA". It matches the Rfam family "Bacterial large subunit ribosomal RNA", at positions 2664 to 2806 of the family's 2925-position model. Lineage: Eukaryota; Viridiplantae; Streptophyta; Magnoliopsida; Solanales; Solanaceae. The record is from Rfam by way of RNAcentral.